AUUGAACGCUGGCGGCAUGCUUUACACAUGCAAGUCGAACGGUAACAGGCCUUCGGGUGCUGACGAGUGGCGAACGGGUGAGUAAUGCAUCGGAACGUACCCAGAGGUGGGGGAUAACGCAGCGAAAGCUGUGCUAAUACCGCAUGUGAUCUGAGGAUGAAAGCGGGGGACCGAGCAGCAAUGUUUGGCCUCGCGCCUUUGGAGCGGCCGAUGUCGGAUUAGCUAGUUGGGGGGGUAAAGGCCUACCAAGGCGACGAUCCGUAGCUGGUCUGAGAGGACGACAGGCCACACUGGGACUGGGACACGGCCCAGACUCCUACGGGAGGCAGCAGUGGGGAAUUUUGGACAAGGGGCGCAAGCCUGAUCCAGCAAUGCCGCGUGCGGGAAGAAGGCCUUCGGGUUGUAAACCGCUUUUGGCAGGAACGAAACGGUGUCCGCUAAUACCGGGCGCUAAUGACGGUACCUGCAGAAUAAGCACCGGCUAACUACGU
This 491-nucleotide ribosomal RNA is filed under the name uncultured bacterium. RNAcentral describes it as "partial 16S ribosomal RNA". It matches the Rfam family "Bacterial small subunit ribosomal RNA", at positions 29 to 506 of the family's 1533-position model. The record is from RNAcentral.